GGUUUAAUCAUGUGCUUGACCUAAAUCCAUUAGGAUUUCCACCAAAUCUUUAUUGAUUUAGAACUUCUCAGGCCUAAUCAAAAGUCCAUGAUCAAUUUUUUUUUGUGUGUGGCCCAUUGGAUUUCACAUCUAGCCAGCAGUAGGUCUAGACUUGAGUCAACCCAAUCUGAUUAGGUCUAAGACUAAAUCAGCCCAUGCGUUACAAUUAAUUAGAACUCUUCUAAUUAAAUUAUUGAAUUAAACUUUUUAAUUCAUGAAAACCUACAAGUCAAGAUUGACGUCUAGCAACAUGUAAUGACUAUCUAGAAGAUGUGAAAUUUGACGAAAUACCAAAAUAUCCUUCUGUGGUGAGUUAUCAUGCAAUUCAAUCCUUCGAUCACACAACAUCCCAGACAUAUCAUAUUCAUGGAAUCAUGUCAAGCCCAAAUAUCUAUCCAUAUGUAUCUCGAUCUGAUGAUGAUGACUCGGUUGAUGAAUCAUUAAAAAUUCUUUCUAAUAUUUAUUCUACUCUGAUCAGAGAUUUCCUGAGUCAUCAUCCUAUGAGAUCACAUAGAUGUUUUCUUCUAUUAUAAGGAAUGAUCGAUUCUUUAUUGACCACUUACAACAUCCAUACACACUUCACCAUACCCAG
RNAcentral lists this long non-coding RNA (631 nucleotides) under Elaeis guineensis (African oil palm). RNAcentral's name for it is "long non-coding RNA (EGUI_LNC066946)". The record is from RNAcentral. Lineage: Eukaryota; Viridiplantae; Streptophyta; Magnoliopsida; Arecales; Arecaceae.